This 253-nucleotide ribosomal RNA is filed under the name uncultured bacterium. RNAcentral describes it as "partial 16S ribosomal RNA". It matches the Rfam family "Bacterial small subunit ribosomal RNA", at positions 524 to 776 of the family's 1533-position model. The record is from RNAcentral.
UACGUAGGGUGCAAGCGUUGUCCGGAAUUAUUGGGCGUAAAGAGCUCGUAGGCGGUUUGUCGCGUCUGCUGUGAAAACUGGAGGCUCAACCUCCAGCCUGCAGUGGGUACGGGCAAACUAGAGUGCGGUAGGGGAGAUUGGAAUUCCUGGUGUAGCGGUGGAAUGCGCAGAUAUCAGGAGGAACACCGAUGGCGAAGGCAGGUCACUGGGCCGCAACUGACGCUGAGGAGCGAAAGCAUGGGGAGCGAACAGG